RNAcentral lists this ribosomal RNA (346 nucleotides) under uncultured bacterium. RNAcentral's name for it is "bacterial SSU rRNA". It matches the Rfam family "Bacterial small subunit ribosomal RNA", at positions 28 to 378 of the family's 1533-position model. The record is from RNAcentral.
GAUGAACGCUGGCGGCGUGCCUAAUACAUGCAAGUCGAACGGAGCACCUUGGUGCUAAAGUGGCGAACGGGUGAGGAGAACAUAGGUAACCUGCCCUCCGAGGGGGACAACAGCUGGAAACGGCUGCUAAGACCGCAUAGACGCAUUCAGGGCAUCCUGGAUGCGCUAAAUGACCGUAUGGUCAGCGGGGGGAUGGACCUAUGCAGUAUUAGCUAGUUGGUGAGGUAACGGCUCACCAAGGCGACGAUACAUAGCCGACCUGAGAGGGUGAUCGGCCACACUGGGACUGAGACACGGCCCAGACUCCUACGGGAGGCAGCAGUAGGGAAUCUUCGGCAAUGGGGGC